UUUAUGAUUAGAUUCAUCUAUAACUCGAAAUAUCAAUUCUACUACAAUAUGAAUAUUUAUAUAUUUAUUAUUCUAAUAUUUCACUAUCAUGAUCACAUACUACAACAAUAUAUGAUAUACUGAUACAAUGUAUGUAGUUAUAUUAUUUAUGUGUUUUGAAACUUGUCUAAAUUAAUUGUAACAAACAAUUCUUUAUUCCAUAUAUUCUCUCGUCAUCUAGUACACAAUCACAUCUUGAUAUGCUAGUAAUUUAAGUCAACAAUGUAAUUCUCAUCCCUACCAUAUAGUCAUAUAGAGUCUCAUGUUGUUAUUUUUUUGGUAUGUCUAAUGUCUUGUAUGACUAUUAAUUAGUUUUGAUUAUUGGUUUUAUUUUAUUUUUUUCUCAAUUAGUUUUGCUAGUUUUUUAAUUUAAUUAAUGUAGAAUGACAUAUGUCAUUUUCUUGUGUGAUGAUAUGUCACUCAUAUGGAGAGUGUUGGCCAACUUUCAUAUAUAUGAUUUAUAAAACGGCUGAUCAAAUACCUAAUUAAAGUAUUCAAAAAUGUGAAA
This 547-nucleotide small RNA is filed under the name Arabidopsis thaliana (thale cress). Its description in RNAcentral is "ATSL153520". The record is from RNAcentral. Lineage: Eukaryota; Viridiplantae; Streptophyta; Magnoliopsida; Brassicales; Brassicaceae.